This 253-nucleotide ribosomal RNA is filed under the name uncultured bacterium. RNAcentral's name for it is "partial 16S ribosomal RNA". It matches the Rfam family "Bacterial small subunit ribosomal RNA", at positions 524 to 776 of the family's 1533-position model. The record is from RNAcentral.
UACGUAGGGCGCAAGCGUUGUCCGGAAUUAUUGGGCGUAAAGGGCGCGUAGGCGGCUUGGCAAGUGGAAGGUGAAAUCCCUCGGCUUAACCGAGGAACUGCCCUCCAAACUGCUUUGCUUGAGGCCGGGAGAGGUGAGUGGAAUUCCCAGUGUAGCGGUGAAAUGCGUAGAUAUUGGGAGGAACACCAGUGGCGAAGGCGGCUCACUGGACCGGUUCUGACGCUGAGGCGCGAAAGCGUGGGGAGCAAACGGG